GUUUUAUCACCGCAGCAGACAUUUAUGCCAGUACCAACGGGGAACCUCUAAGGCGACCAAGAGAACUGCAGCAAGGACAACGGCAUUGGGGAGGUGCCACCCACACAGGUUUACUGCCACUGGAGGCCGAGAGGGCUGCCCACUCCGAGAAAAUAUCUCCCCCUCCCACCGCCCCCAAGGCUGUUUCGGUUUAGCUCGUGAGAAGAAGCGAAGAGGGCCCGGCACCGCCCGCGAGCAGCGAGAGGAGGGCCCAAGGUGCGCCCGUCCCCCCCGUCCCCCCUCCGGCUGGGUAAAGCCCGGGCGGCUCCGGUGGUUUUCGUUGCUACGACCACCUCCAGCGGGAUUCAGCGGAGGCCGUCGAGGAGCGCGUGACGCACCUCCUUCCCCCCUCUCUCUCCUUCCUUCCCUCCCUCCCUCCGCUCUCUUCUCCCGGAGAACAAAAGAAGAAUUCUUUGCACAGCAGGCUGUAUUGUGACUUCACAUAACAACUAGAGUUGCCCAGGAUUCAGGGAUUUGCAUGAUUGUACUUAUCAUAACCGGGUGUAUAGCUGCUUCAUAGAACCUCUGAUUGUGGAAUGGAGCUCAGAAGGAAAACUCUGCAGUAACAUAAGAGGUUCAACAGGAUAUCUAGAUUGGUGUUAAGAAACUUCCUUAAUAUAAUGACAGUCAUUUUUGCCUGUCCAGCAACAGAAAACAUCACAAGGAUCAACACCAAAAGUAUCUCAAACCCACUUGAGAACCAGUGACCCAUAUGAACUAAAGCAAUUGGAAAACCAAUUCCAAUUUCUCAGAAUGGAUUUGGAAUUGCAGAAGGGGAAAAAUAUUUUAAAGUGGAAGUGGAGAGAGAGGAGGACAGAAUUGGAGUAUGAGGAACAAUUUCAAAGUUUGGAAUUGGAGAGAAUGAUGGAAUGAUGCUUAUCAGUUAAGUAAACAGAGGAACACCAAUCCAACAUUUCCCACUGCUGCUCCUACGGAAAACUGGCAAGUUUCCAAGGUGAAAUUAGUUAAGUGAACCUUACUACUGUGAACCUUACCAGAAUUUGAGGAUGAAGUUUUAUCCAUGAGAAAGAGGGAUGUCCCUUAUGUAACUACUGUAUGUGGGCAUCAUAUCUUUUCCCUAGUACAUUUUGGAGGUGGUGUGAGGGCCAAUGGAAUAUAUUUAGUUUUCUCCUCUUGAGAAUGUAGAGGAUACAGUCAGUGGCAGUUCCAUCACCACCUCCCCUUUCCAGAGUUACUGAAGGAUGAGAUUGCACAUAAUAGUUUUGUGGAUGUAGAAGGAAAACACAAUGCCUAUCAAAAGUGAGGAGAGGAGAAGAAAGCAAGACAGUUUUCCUCAAAUGUGUCUUCUGCUCUCAUGUCCCUGUUUUCAUCAACAAAGAAUUAACAGCUUUCCCCUUAGAAAGUUACACAUGGUUCUACUUUCAUUUUUCUCUUUUGAGCUUCAGGACAGAAUUGAACUCUUCAACCAUGAAGAGCAUUUGCUCAAACAAUUUUCUAUCACUGCUAGUUAUUUCCUGUUUUGAUGGAAUGAAAAAAAUACCCUAUUUUCCUUUUUUAUUUUUCCGAAGAGCCAAAUAACACUGGAAAAGAAUAUCUCCCACCUGUUCUCCUUUCCAUAUUAAUCCGAAUAUAACAAUAAUUUAUGUUACUUGUGUGUGUGUGUGUGUUAAUUUCUGAGGUACAUCACAUGCUGUUUCUUUGGGAUCCUAGCAUAUUAAUCAUCUUGAUUUGGUUGGUGGGGGUAGUAUUUAACUUCCCUUGUUCCAGUCUGCAUCCCUCUCCAGUCCUACUCCUUCUACCCCCAUUCUUUGUAUUUGUAUUCUGUAGAAGCAGCUGAAGAAAGGAAGCCUGCUGUACAAGAGUAAAAUAGAUCCGGCAGUUACUCAGCUCCUGAGACAUCAUGGUAUGACUCAUGAGUAGAAUAAAGAGAUGUGAAAAUCAAAAGCUGUUGCAUUCCCCCCAAGCAUUACACACAUAUCCCCCUUCGCUUUUCCUCCUACCUGGAGAGGUUUGUGGCACCUCAA
Molecule: long non-coding RNA, 2024 nt
Organism: Thamnophis elegans (Western terrestrial garter snake)
Lineage: Eukaryota; Metazoa; Chordata; Lepidosauria; Squamata; Natricidae
Exons: 3
Source: RefSeq, a predicted model, not a curated record